AGUUUGGCUUAGUGGCAUUAUCAUAAUCAAUGAGAUUUAUUUGAGGGGUGGUUAUUACUAAUUAAAAACUAUGUCCAAUAUACUGCUAUGCUGUUAUCGUACAGCCCAGCAUUUCGUGAAGUUCUCUAUGGACA
Protopterus annectens (West African lungfish) is the source of this 134-nucleotide small nuclear RNA. RefSeq annotates it as U4 spliceosomal RNA. Lineage: Eukaryota; Metazoa; Chordata; Ceratodontiformes; Protopteridae. The record is from RefSeq and is a predicted model, not a curated record. The transcript has a single exon.